This is a long non-coding RNA of Poeciliopsis prolifica (blackstripe livebearer), 783 nucleotides long. RefSeq lists it as uncharacterized. The transcript has 4 exons. The record is from RefSeq and is a predicted model, not a curated record. NCBI's taxonomy places the organism in Eukaryota, Metazoa, Chordata, Actinopteri, Cyprinodontiformes, Poeciliidae.
CCGCGCCCGUUUUCAUACCUGUUAGUCCAGUACGUGUAAACUCCAAAACCUCUGAGAGCUCAACACAAUCAGAUCUGCUGAUAACUUCCAGCUAACGCGCUGCACCUGAGAAAAUGAAAGCCCAGGUUCUGUUGCUGCUCCUUGUUCUUGUCAGAGUUGAGUUGAUGUCCAUCCGUUCCCAUGGGGACUCACCAGUUGUUCCAGAAGACGUGGCCCUUGCAGAAAUGAGAGGGGAACAGAGAGAAGUAAAGGCUGCCCCCCCUGAACCAAUCACUGAGUGUUUCUCAAAAUCUUAAAAGUUUUCUCAGAGUGAAGAAAUGGAGAAUAAAGAGGAAAGAAAAUCUUUCCAUUUUUGCACCUAUUUACUUUCCAAAUCUGUUUAUGUGCUCAUUAUAUCUGAGAAAUAUGUUCCUUUUAUCCACACCUCUAAUUUUAUAAAAAUAUGCAAAAACAUUGUCUUAAAACAUGUUCCUAUAAAGAUUGCAUUGCACUAAACUAAAACAAUUGGAAAAUAAAAUGUUAAUCUUAGAAAUCUGCUUCUGCUUCUUGCAAAAUGUUGAAGGGUGGAGGGUGCAGCAGCUUGAAUUGUUUGUUUUUCUAUGUCAGAUAAUACAUAUAUGGAUAUUAGAAUGAAUAAUGACUUAGUUGAUGAGGUCAGAUCAGAAAAUUCCUGGCUCGACUGCAGGAGGGAAUGGUAAUUUGUAAAAACACACAGACAACCAAUUAAUGCAGUAUUAGUCAUGUGUAGAGUAUCAAUGAAUAUUUACAAUAUAUAGAGAGAAG